RNAcentral lists this long non-coding RNA (220 nucleotides) under Elaeis guineensis (African oil palm). RNAcentral describes it as "long non-coding RNA (EGUI_LNC062238)". The record is from RNAcentral. Lineage: Eukaryota; Viridiplantae; Streptophyta; Magnoliopsida; Arecales; Arecaceae.
AGAGAAGGGGUGUGAAAUAGAGAGGGGGCGAGUCAUUCUGUGCGACAAAAAGAGGAAAAUCCCUUCCUUUUUGGGUGUGAGUUCUAGGAUGAGGUCCUAGGGUUUCGGCUCUAGAUUUUUGUGAGAAGAUAUAAAACAAGAGGAUCUUGUUCUAUACUUCCUACACCACCUUCUCCUCCACUUGUUCCAUCCUCUAAUUCAGAAGAGUCUAGAUGAUCCA